RNAcentral lists this ribosomal RNA (433 nucleotides) under uncultured bacterium. RNAcentral describes it as "partial 16S ribosomal RNA". It matches the Rfam family "Bacterial small subunit ribosomal RNA", at positions 29 to 507 of the family's 1533-position model. The record is from RNAcentral.
AACGAACGCUGGCGGCAUGCCUAACACAUGCAAGUCGAACGAGACCUUCGGGUCUAGUGGCGCACGGGUGCGUAACGCGUGGGAACCUGCCCUUAGGUUCGGAAUAACUCCCCGAAAGGGGUGCUAAUACCGGAUAAUGUCUUCGGACCAAAGAUUUAUCGCCUUUGGAUGGGCCGGCGUUGGAUUAGCUAGUUGGUAGGGUAAAAGCCUACCAAGGCGACGAUCCAUAGCUGGUCUGAGAGGAAGAUCAGCCACACUGGGACUGAGACACGGCCCAGACUCCUACGGGAGGCAGGAGUGGGGGAUAUUGGAACAUGGGGGGAAGGCUGAUCCAGCAAUGCCGGGUGAGUGAUGAAGGCCUUAGGGUUGUAAAGCUCUUGUACCCGGGAUGAUAAUGACAGUACCGGGAGAAUAAGCUCCGGCUAACUCCGUG